GGGUCACCUGGACCGGGGCCGGGGUCAACCUGGUUUUGGCCGGGGCCAAGUUUGCCGCCGGCUUCCUCGGCCGUUCGGCGGCCAUGGUCUCC
This 92-nucleotide transfer RNA is filed under the name subsurface metagenome. Its description in RNAcentral is "tRNA-Gln". The record is from RNAcentral.